AUAUAUGACGAGUCCCAAACAGGACGAAACGCGCGUCCUGGAU
RNAcentral lists this non-coding RNA (43 nucleotides) under Schistosoma bovis. Lineage: Eukaryota; Metazoa; Platyhelminthes; Trematoda; Strigeidida; Schistosomatidae. The record is from RNAcentral. RNAcentral also lists the same sequence under 1 other name.